Molecule: ribosomal RNA, 517 nt
Filed under: uncultured bacterium
Lineage: Bacteria
Description: bacterial SSU rRNA
Rfam family: Bacterial small subunit ribosomal RNA
Source: RNAcentral
GGACGAACGCUGGCGGCGUGCCUAAUACAUGCAAGUGGAACGCAUGAUUGAUACCGUAGCUUGCUACACCAUUAAUCAUGAGUCGCGAACGGGUGAGUAACGCGUAGGUAACCUGCCUACUAGCGGGGGAUAACUAUUGGAAACGAUAGCUAAUACCGCAUAAGAGUUUUUAACACAUGUUAGAAAUUUAAAAGGAGCAAAUGCUUCACUAGUAGAUGGACCUGCGUUGUAUUAGCUAGUUGGUAAGGUAACGGCUUACCAAGGCGACGAUACAUAGCCGACCUGAGAGGGUGAUCGGCCACACUGGGACUGAGACACGGCCCAGACUCCUACGGGAGGCAGCAGUAGGGAAUCUUCGGCAAUGGGGGGAACCCUGACCGGGCAACGCCGCGUGAGUGAAGAAGGUUUUCGGAUCGUAAAGCUCUGUUGUAAGAGAAGAACGUUGAGUAGAGUGGAAAGUUACUCAAGUGACGGUAUCUUACCAGAAAGGGACGGCUAACUACGUGCCAGCAGCCGC